This is a long non-coding RNA of Bombus pascuorum, 1794 nucleotides long. RefSeq lists it as uncharacterized. NCBI's taxonomy places the organism in Eukaryota, Metazoa, Arthropoda, Insecta, Hymenoptera, Apidae. The transcript is spliced from 2 exons. The record is from RefSeq and is a predicted model, not a curated record.
UAUAAAAUUUUAAUUUAAAACAAAAUUGAUUUUUUAAAUAAUAAAUUACCUAUAAUAUUAUUAUAUUUAUUUAAUUUAAAUAGUAAUUAAUAAUUUAUGAAUGAUAAAUUUAUUUAUAUUGACAAUACCACCUAAUGACAAAAUCCACAAUCACUUAGUCGCCAACACAAUAGAAGAGGAGACAACAUCUCGCAAAAGAUGGUCAGUGUACGCGAACAGUGCUCUGACACGCCAGCUGUGAAGAGGAUGAAGACGAAGUAUUUCAGAUUUUCGAAUCAGAAGAAAGCGACAAAACAGAGGAAUCUUCAUAUAAAAGCGAAGGAGAAGAUUCCCGAGAUUUUUGCCAUAGCAGGAAAAGGACGCGUCUGCGAUGCGAUUCCAAAUCCGAGAAUCACACGAACAUUCUCAGAUCCUGCGAGAUUUGAACGUGGUUCAUGAUAUUGAAACUGCGGUCGAUGGAACAAUUUGGAAGAAAUUGGAAACAGGCGGAUCUAAUGGUAGACCACUUUAUCAACAUUUCAAGAAUAUCGCUAGUUCUACCGGAUACGCAACAAGAAAUGUGGCGACAGAUAGCGUCAGCAGUUCCACUUGAUGAUCGACAGAAACAUGUUGCAACAUAGAAAAUGUUGCACCGAAGCAGAGACAUGUGGUGUCUUAAAAAGUGAUUGGACAAUUUCAAUGGCUAAGUUAUGGCCAGUCGCUUUCUUCUCGACCACAAUGCCAAGAGAUGAAUUGAUGUAAAUUCUUCGAUUUGAUAAAAGUUUGAUAAAAGAAGAAAACGAUCGGAAAGCUUACGUACAGACAAAAUUCAGCACACGUGUUAAAAAUGCGUGGAAUAAAUGUGAUGAUAUAUAAUGUUAGACAUUAUAAGUUCUAUGCAAAUGUAUAUCUCAUGGUCUCAUUUAUAAAUAAACAGCGUAUAAUUAUGUUUUCUUUUUUUUUAAAAAUGUAUGAUUUUGUUCAUACGUCAAAUCGACGCGUAGAGAUAGGAAUAUAUAGGAAAUGUGAGUAAACCUAGCGUUGAAGAUCUGUUUGAAGAUCUCUUAUACUUGAAAAGGCAAUCAUUGACUAUCUCAAAAUAAAAAAAAAAUAAAAAAGAGAUAACUGACUGUCUCAAGAUAUAAAACAAAAAUUUACUCGAGUCCUAUCCGACCAAUUAGGUACCCGGAUACUCACAAUCGGAAAAAUACCUGAUGCAACCUGCUUGAACAUUCUACUCGUGUCACCCAAUGUUUACAAUAUUUCAAAUAAUUUAUGUUUCUGCGUCAAUCGAGUAUCUAAAUUAAAUAUCUUCAUUUUUCUACCGAAACGCCAACAAAUAAACGUUCUCAGCAGCUAGACUGGCUGGCUUCAACAUUUCCACACAUUUCCAGCUGUUGAAAACACAUUAGCAAAAGUUGCCAAGAUGUACUUGUGUAUACAAGUCUGCAAGCUCUGAACGUGUGGUUCCAACAGCUGACAAUAUCGUCAACGUAUAACCUAACAGCAUUACAGCAUUAACAGCAGCAGUACAGAACUAAAAAUGUCUACUUUAAAAUGAUCGUUCCAUUGUCUACCAAAAACAUUGUGAACGCCCGUGACGCGAGUAGGGCACUCGAGUGAAAAAUAGCAAGCAUCCGAGUAGCGAUAGCUCUACUCUCAGCUAUCUCAUCUCUGUGGACAGGAACAGUGAUAAAGCACGUAGCUAAAUUUGAAUCAUUGCAAUCAACCGCACUGAGAACAGUUGCGAAUGCAGCGCGGUGUACCAGCAGCAAAAGUCUAAGGAAACAGCCAAUUAGGCUACCAACGAUUCAA